Molecule: ribosomal RNA, 550 nt
Filed under: uncultured bacterium
Lineage: Bacteria
Description: bacterial SSU rRNA
Rfam family: Bacterial small subunit ribosomal RNA
Source: RNAcentral
UAGGGAAUCUUCCGCAAUGGGCGAAAGCCUGACGGAGCAACGCCGCGUGAGUGAAGAAGGAUUUCGGUUCGUAAAGCUCUGUUGUUAGGGAAGAAUGAUUGUGUAGUAACUAUACACAGUAGAGACGGUACCUAACCAGAAAGCCACGGCUAACUACGUGCCAGCAGCCGCGGUAAUACGUAGGUGGCAAGCGUUGUCCGGAAUUAUUGGGCGUAAAGCGCGCGCAGGUGGUUUAAUAAGUCUGAUGUGAAAGCCCACGGCUCAACCGUGGAGGGUCAUUGGAAACUGUUAAACUUGAGUGCAGGAGAGAAAAGUGGAAUUCCUAGUGUAGCGGUGAAAUGCGUAGAGAUUAGGAGGAACACCAGUGGCGAAGGCGGCUUUUUGGCCUGUAACUGACACUGAGGCGCGAAAGCGUGGGGAGCAAACAGGAUUAGAUACCCUGGUAGUCCACGCCGUAAACGAUGAGUGCUAGGUGUUGGGUCCUUUCCGGGACUCAGUGCCGCAGCUAACGCAUUAAGCACUCCGCCUGGGGAGUACGACCGCAAGGUUG